This 244-nucleotide ribosomal RNA is filed under the name Anaplasma phagocytophilum. RNAcentral's name for it is "partial 16S ribosomal RNA". It matches the Rfam family "Bacterial small subunit ribosomal RNA", at positions 22 to 274 of the family's 1533-position model. The record is from RNAcentral. Lineage: Bacteria; Pseudomonadati; Pseudomonadota; Alphaproteobacteria; Rickettsiales; Anaplasmataceae.
UUUCAGAACGAACGCUGGCGGCAAGCUUAACACAUGCAAGUCGAACGGAUUAUUCUUUGUAGCUUGCUAUAAAGAAUGAUUAGUGGCAGACGGGUGAGUAAUGCAUAGGAAUCUACCUAGUAGUAUGGGAUAGCCUACUAGAAAUGGUGGGUAAUACUGUAUAAUCCCUGCGGGGGAAAGAUUUAUCGCUAUUAGAUGAGCCUAUGUUAGAUUAGCUAGUUGGUAGGGUAAAGGCCUACCGGGC